GAUGAACGCUGACAGAAUGCUUAACACAUGCAAGUCGACUCGAGUCUUCGGACUUGGGUGGCGCACGGGUGAGUAACGCGUAAAGAACUUGCCUCUUAGACCGGGACAACAUCUGGAAACGGAUGCUAAUACCGGAUAUUAUGGCUUUUUCGCAUGGAGGAAUCAUGAAAGCUAGAUGCGCUAAGAGAGAGCUUUGCGUCCCAUUAGCUGGUUGGUGAGGUAACGGCCCACCAAGGCAAUGAUGGGUAGCCGGCCUGAGAGGGUGAACGGCCACAAGGGGACUGAGACACGGCCCUUACUCCUACGGGAGGCAGCAGUGGGGAAUAUUGGACAAUGGACCGCAAGUCUGAUCCAGCAAUUCUGUGUGCACGAUGACGUUUUUCGGAAUGUAAAGUGCUUUCAGUCGGGAAGAAGUCAGUGACGGUACCGACAGAAGAAGCGACGGCUAAAUACGUGCCAGCAGCCGCGGUAAUACGUAUGUCGCAAGCGUUAUCCGGAUUUAUUGGGCGUAAAGCGCGUCUAGGCGGCAAGGAAAGUCUGAUGUGAAAAUGCGGAGCUCAACUCCGUAUGGCGUUGGAAACUGCCUUACUAGAGUACUGGAGAGGUAGGCGGAACUACAAGUGUAGAGGUGAAAUUCGUAGAUAUUUGUAGGAAUGCCGAUGGGGAAGCCAGCCUACUGGACAGAUACUGACGCUAAAGCGCGAAA
RNAcentral lists this ribosomal RNA (706 nucleotides) under uncultured Fusobacteriota bacterium. RNAcentral's name for it is "bacterial SSU rRNA". It matches the Rfam family "Bacterial small subunit ribosomal RNA", at positions 28 to 758 of the family's 1533-position model. Lineage: Bacteria; Fusobacteriati; Fusobacteriota. The record is from RNAcentral.